RNAcentral lists this ribosomal RNA (253 nucleotides) under uncultured bacterium. RNAcentral describes it as "partial 16S ribosomal RNA". It matches the Rfam family "Bacterial small subunit ribosomal RNA", at positions 524 to 776 of the family's 1533-position model. The record is from RNAcentral.
GACAGAGGAUGCAAGCGUUAUCCGGAAUGUUUGGGCGUAAAGCGUCUGUAGGUGGCUUUUCAAGUCCGCCGUCAAAUCCCAGGGCUCAACCCUGGACAGGCGGUGGAUACUACCAAGCUGGAGUACGGUAGGGUCAGAGGGAAUUUCCGGUGGAGCGGUGAAAUGCAUUGAGAUCAGAAAGAACACCAACGGCGAAAGCACUCUGCUGGGCCGACACUGACACUGAGAGACGAAAGCUAGGGGAGCAAAUGGG